RNAcentral lists this ribosomal RNA (263 nucleotides) under uncultured bacterium. RNAcentral describes it as "partial 16S ribosomal RNA". It matches the Rfam family "Bacterial small subunit ribosomal RNA", at positions 524 to 786 of the family's 1533-position model. The record is from RNAcentral.
UACGUAGGGGGCGAGCGUUGUCCGGAAUUACUGGGCGUAAAGGGUGCGUAGGCGGCCGAUUAAGUUGGAUGUGAAAUACCCGGGCUUAACCUGGGGGGUGCAUCCAAUACUGGUUGGCUAGAGUGCAGGAGAGGGAAGCGGAAUUCCUAGUGUAGCGGUGAAAUGCGUAGAUAUUAGGAGGAACACCAGUGGCGAAGGCGGCUUUCUGGACUGUAACUGACGCUGAUGCACGAAAGCGUGGGGAGCAAACAGGAUUAGAUACC